Long non-coding RNA from Rhododendron vialii, 3057 nucleotides. RefSeq lists it as uncharacterized. Lineage: Eukaryota; Viridiplantae; Streptophyta; Magnoliopsida; Ericales; Ericaceae. The transcript is spliced from 4 exons. The record is from RefSeq and is a predicted model, not a curated record.
CGAAGAUGAGUGAUUUUAAUGGUUCGUAUUUAUUUAUUUUUAAAUUUUUUGAGUGAUUUCAAUGUGUUGCUGUUUAUUGGUCUUUGUACAUGUCCAGAGAACCGGUCGACGGAGAGUCAGUGACGCCCUCAACGACGACGAAGAUGAGGACGACGGUUCUUCAAGAUGGAAGUUGAAGUGAGGAAGAUGCCGCUAUUUUUGUGCACGGAGAUGUCAUUAGUACUAAAAGCGGAUAUAUAGUUGUUGCCCUAUAUGAACAUUGAGAGUCAAGUUGCCAAGUUUCUCUAUGUAUUCAUGUGUUUAUGAAGUGUUGCCCUAUAUUCGCGUUUUCUUAUCUUCUUCCCGCCCUAAUAGUAGCAAGAGUGUCAUAUGAGCACCAUUUUUGAAGAUAAACAGAGAUGCCCAAUCCAUUGUCUAACCUUAAUAAAAUAGAAAACCCUUCCCUGAAUUGAAACCAAAUUUUCCAAAUCAGUUAUAAAGAUCGGAUGAUUCAAAACAUUAUGGACUCUCUCUCUCUCCCCCCAUGGGACGAGGGUUGGAGCAUCAUGGACUCUUAGUUUUCCUGUUUUGAGCUCCAUCUCCUCGUCCUCUUUGUCUAACUUCUCCCUACAGAGCUUGCAAUCACUCCCUCAGUGGUAAUUUCCCUUAUUACUUUUGGUUCAGUGUCAUAGCUAGAUUGAGUAAUUUGCUUGUACUUUUUGGGUUGGUUAGGGCUAGAAGACGGUUAUUUUGUUCUCUUUUGUGGUUUUCUAUGUUGGAGAGGUAAUUUUCCGUUGGUUUUCAGUUUCUACGAUUUGUGCAUUAUAUGGUAAUAUGUUGUACGUUUGCUUUAGAAUUGCUGCUUUAAAUGAUGCAUGUAUUCCAUUUAUGGUGUCCCUAGGAUCUUUAAAUCACACAAUGCACUGGAUUUUACAACAUGUCACUGAAUCAUGACGCUUAUAAGGCAGCUACAUAGGUUCAGAAAAGCUAUAUUUUUUUUAGUGAAAUAAUUUUAAGCAUCAGUAAUAGAAGUAGUAGAAGCCACAUAAAUAGCCACUGAGGUGUGAAGAAAGGAAAAAGAGCAAGGUAGAGGGAAAACGAAGGAAAAAGUAAUUAAGGAAAGAAAAAGGGAAGAUGAGACAGAAAAUAUAGUAAUUGGUGGGACAAGUAAUUCUAUUAAAGUUAUCGUGGGUAGGCACUAGGCAGUAAUUAUGUUUUUCCUUUUUCAUGUACCCUAAUAGAUUUUUUUGCAUUGUCUUUCUUGUUCAUUUUAUCUUAUAUAUAGUAGGGGAUACAGAUUUGCCUAUGUUGGACUUCCUUUGUCAUCUUGUAUGUGUGUGCACCAGAACACUUUGAUUGUCCUUUGGAGUUCAAUAGUUAAAAUCAACUGAAGGAUGAUGACGACUAUGCUCCUUAUAGACUUGAUUUUCCAAUGCUCAAGAUAAUCAGUGAAUCCUCUAUCUAAUUUUCUAUAUGUUUUCUUUCACAUGAUUUACAUUCGAUUGUUCUUUGAUAAAAGCCACUACAUGCAAUGUACAGUUGGAGGAACUCGCUUAAAAUCGAUGAUUACUGAACUGUUGUGAACGUAUAAGGCUACGACUUAGUAUAAAAUGCUUUGGAAUUUGUUGCUCUCAUCAUUGUCUUGGGGAGUGAUUUUAAAGAAUUGGUGUCGAAGCCGUAAAACUAUUGUGUUUGUCUGUUUCCAUGAAUAAUUGUAUUGCUUGGUAUGUCUGAGAUGAUUUUAAGGAGAUACGAGAUAACAUGAUUUCAAAGAAGCUAAUAUUAUUUUGUUGCGUUUGGAGAGAGAUGAGAACAAAGAGUUAUUAGUAAAAGAAACUCCAUUUUCUGCUUGAUUAUUGGAGAAGAAAAAUAUUGUAGGCAAGGCUCAUUUAGUUGGCAUUCACAUUAAAUUCCAUGAAAAAUUCAAGAUUCAAACACAUCGUAAAAGCUCAAGUAUGGGGUCAUAUACUAAUGAGUAAUGAGUGAUAUCAAAAAGUGGUAUUUAUUCUCCAAGAAAUACUUUUUUAGGCUGUGGGUCUUGCAAGUCUUGGAUACAUAUAUAUGCUCUGCUGGUAUUUGAUUGGGAGCUGGAAAUUUGCUUAUGUCAUUUAUAUUUCUUUGUACUCUUGUUGGCAAAUAUUCUAUAUCUUGUGAUGGUAUGUACAUUAUACACAUAUAUACAUAAAUGUUGUUUUGAUUGCCAGAAGAUGAUUCCGAAUGGAUGCUCCUUGGUCACUCCGAGUAUUUUCCUGAAGGUAUUCAACUCAAAGUCUCAUUUCUCGGGUGCAUAUGGUAGCAUCCCUCCUUUGCCUUCCCGUGUUUCCUAUCCAAGCAUUAGAAGUUCAUGGAAACCCUUUCAAGGGCUGACAUUGCAGUCUUCCAUCAGUAUGUUGACAUGGUUGUCAAGUUGAUGCUCUCUUGUUUGUUUCAUUUAGGUUGCAUGUUUUGAAAUUAGAUCCUGGAUUUAUGUAAUUGGAGUGAUUUUUGUGGUAAAAAGUCUUAGUUUCUUGUACCCAGAUUAUAUGAUGUUAGGUGAAGGAAUAUAUAGCUUUGGUUCCCGCUAAGUGAUGUUUUUUAAUGUGGUCAUUUUUCUUCAAAAUCUUAGUUGCUCAAGGCUUGGAAUUAUUUUGGCACGGGCUUCUUUCAGCCUACAUUAUCCAGCAAUCUAUCUAAUAAAGGAACUCAGUGUUUUUGAAUCCCCAUAUUUUCAACAGUUAGAUCUGAUCAUAUUUCCUGACCAUCCCCCGGCCGUUGGAUCUUAGAAGAUGCUUCCUUUGCACUCCGGUCCCCAUACCAACGUCAGAUCCCUCCUCUCUCUCUCUCUCUCUCUCCUGCGAUCUGCUCCUCCACGCAACUUGACAGCUGUAGAUCAUUCUCUCUUUCUCUGAUCAAGGGAAAUGUGGGUGUUUCUCUCUCUUUCAAAAUUCAAACGGCUCUCUCUCUCUCGGUCCCUGCAACAGUGCAACCUUCGGGCUCAGAUCUGAUUUGGACUCAUGGACGACAGCAACUUAUCCAACCUAUUGUAUAGGAGGUUGUGAAUAACCUGAGAAGCUUGGGGCUUGGAGUAGGAAAGCUUGG